This is a long non-coding RNA of Homo sapiens (human), 664 nucleotides long. Lineage: Eukaryota; Metazoa; Chordata; Mammalia; Primates; Hominidae. The record is from Ensembl.
AGAACUCGUGAGCAACUCCUUAGUGGAUUGGGCUGAAAGAAAAUCAAACCCGUGAAAGCCCUGAAUUGAUGUGGUUAUGAAAGCGCAUUGGCCAAGCUGGCUUUCCUUCCUCUGACCCCCAUCUAACUAUGGUGAACGCCCUCGUUGAUCGAAUGGCACACAUCUGUGAAUAGACAGCCACAUCUCUGCUGCCAGAAUACAGCUGCUGAGGUGUUUGGGGCUUACUUGGAGAAAUGAGGACAUUGAUCUGGGUGAAUGGUAGUAGCUGUACACAUACAAAGUACUGUUCACUUCUUUGCUAAGGUUUUAUGUACACUCUGAGGAUAUCAGAGAAUUCGGAGAAAAUCCAUGGCACAGAUUGGAUGCAUAAUACAUCAGUGGGAUGAGGCUCCCAGGCUCCUGAUAGCAGGUAGAGGAGAGAACGAGACCGCAAAGAGGGAAGCCGAGAGGAGUGAUGAAGACCCUGGCCCUACCAUCUACUCAGGCUGUCUUUGCAGCCACACUGUGAGCCCAGGCUGGUUAACGCUUCCUCCUGGAGGAGAAAAGCUAAGAGAGAAAACAAAAUCCAUGCAGCGCGCUCCCCCUCGGCCCCUCCUCUCUGUCUCCUCUGUGCGCUAACCUCCAAUGCCCUGCGGGAACCAAUUACAGUAUUCUAAUGAGUGUA